Molecule: transfer RNA, 72 nt
Filed under: Phrynosoma platyrhinos (Desert horned lizard)
Lineage: Eukaryota; Metazoa; Chordata; Lepidosauria; Squamata; Phrynosomatidae
Description: tRNA-OTHER
Source: RNAcentral
GCCAAUGUGGUGUCGUGGUUUGGGCAUUGGACUAUGAUUCUGGAGACCAGGGUUCGAAUCCCUGGUCGGGUG